Small nucleolar RNA from Pogoniulus pusillus (Red-fronted tinkerbird), 72 nucleotides. RefSeq annotates it as small nucleolar RNA SNORD56. The record is from RefSeq and is a predicted model, not a curated record. The transcript has a single exon. NCBI's taxonomy places the organism in Eukaryota, Metazoa, Chordata, Aves, Piciformes, Lybiidae.
CUGCGGUGAUGGAAAACAUUUUUCGUCAACAGCAUCUCACUGUGUGAAUGGUGACUCCUGUGGGCUGAGCAG